GUGGCCGUAGCUCAGCUGGCUAGAGCACCGGGUUGUGAUCCUGGAGGUCGCGGGUUCGAGCCCCGUCGGUCACC
RNAcentral lists this transfer RNA (74 nucleotides) under Phycisphaera sp. RNAcentral describes it as "tRNA-His". It matches the Rfam family "tRNA". Rfam says of the family: Transfer RNA (tRNA) molecules are approximately 80 nucleotides in length. Their secondary structure includes four short double-helical elements and three loops (D, anti-codon, and T loops). Lineage: Bacteria; Pseudomonadati; Planctomycetota; Phycisphaerae; Phycisphaerales; Phycisphaeraceae. The record is from RNAcentral.